This 303-nucleotide long non-coding RNA is filed under the name Bos taurus (domestic cattle). RNAcentral's name for it is "long non-coding RNA NONBTAT007540". The record is from RNAcentral. Lineage: Eukaryota; Metazoa; Chordata; Mammalia; Artiodactyla; Bovidae.
ACUCAGCAUAUUGUUCCUCAGUCUGAUCUUGAAAAAAAAAGUUUUGGUUGUGAUAUAUGGGGAAAUCCUUUACAUAUUUGAUCUGAUUUUUAUGUAAAAUCUCUAGAAGAGAUUAGGAACUUUUCAGCAGAGCUUGUCAUCAGCUUUCUGAAAUUUGCUCUUUCUUUUUCAUACGUUGGUAAAUAACCAUUACCAAAUGUUUUACAGAGCUUCGUGCUUACUGUUUGUUGACAGUGUGGCUGUCUCUUUUCCUUUUCAUAUUAGGUGACUUUAAAAUUUACUGGCCAUUCACAAAUUUCUUUU